Molecule: ribosomal RNA, 497 nt
Filed under: uncultured bacterium
Lineage: Bacteria
Description: partial 16S ribosomal RNA
Rfam family: Bacterial small subunit ribosomal RNA
Source: RNAcentral
GAUGAACGCUGGCGGCGUGCCUAAUACAUGCAAGUCGAGCGAACAGACGAGGAGCUUGCUCCUCUGACGUUAGCGGCGGACGGGUGAGUAACACGUGGAUAACCUACUUAUAAGACUGGGAUAACUUCGGGAAACCGGAGCUAAUACCGGAUAAUAUAUUGAACCGCAUGGUUCAUUAGUGAAAGACGGUUUUGCUGUCACUUAUAGAUGGAUCCGCGCCGCAUUAGCUAGUUGGUAAGGUAACGGCUUACCAAGGCAACGAUGCGUAGCCGACCUGAGAGGGUGAUCGGCCACACUGGAACUGAGACACGGUCCAGACUCCUACGGGAGGCAGCAGUAGGGAAUCUUCCGCAAUGGGCGAAAGCCUGACGGAGCAACGCCGCGUGAAUGAUGAAGGUCUUCGGAUCGUAAAACUCUGUUAUUAGGGAAGAACAAAUGUGUAAGUAACUAUGCACGUCUUGACGGUACCUAAUCAGAAAGCCACGGCUAACUACGUG